ACAUCUUUGAUAAAACAUGUUUUACAGCUAGUGGUUAUCUAUCUUGUGACCUUUCAGCUGUUCAGCAGUAAAACAGAAACUUAGAGAACUUACAAAAUAUGCAGAGGGUAGAUAUGGUUAAUAUUUCACAGAGAAGUAUUUUCUGCCCUUGCUGGAGAGGAAUUUCAAUCAUUUGGAGAAGAUGAGGUCUGCUGCAGUUUGCGGGAGGUCCACUCCAGACCCUG
Molecule: long non-coding RNA, 224 nt
Filed under: Homo sapiens (human)
Lineage: Eukaryota; Metazoa; Chordata; Mammalia; Primates; Hominidae
Description: HSALNT0409553
Source: RNAcentral